This 74-nucleotide transfer RNA is filed under the name Candidatus Iainarchaeum sp. RNAcentral's name for it is "tRNA-Val". It matches the Rfam family "tRNA". Rfam says of the family: Transfer RNA (tRNA) molecules are approximately 80 nucleotides in length. Their secondary structure includes four short double-helical elements and three loops (D, anti-codon, and T loops). The record is from RNAcentral. Lineage: Archaea; Nanobdellati; Candidatus Iainarchaeota; Candidatus Iainarchaeia; Candidatus Iainarchaeales; Candidatus Iainarchaeaceae.
GGGCCCGUAGUCUAUUGGUUUGAGGACGCGACCUUCACACGGUCGAGAGUGGAGUUCGACUCUCCGCGGGCCCA